RNAcentral lists this ribosomal RNA (252 nucleotides) under uncultured bacterium. Its description in RNAcentral is "partial 16S ribosomal RNA". It matches the Rfam family "Bacterial small subunit ribosomal RNA", at positions 524 to 775 of the family's 1533-position model. The record is from RNAcentral.
UACGGGGGGGGCAAGCGUUGUUCGGAAUUACUGGGCGUAAAGGGCUCGUAGGCGGCCAACUAAGUCAGACGUGAAAUCCCCAGGCUCAACCUGGGAACUGCGUCUGAUACUGGAUGGCUUGAAUCCGGGAGAGGGAUGCAGAAUUCCAGGUGUAGCGGUGAAAUGCGUAGAUAUCUGGAGGAACACCGGUGGCGAAGGCGGCAUCCUGGACCGGCAUUGACGCUGAGGCGCGAAAGCCAGGGGAGCAACGGG